RNAcentral lists this ribosomal RNA (253 nucleotides) under uncultured bacterium. Its description in RNAcentral is "partial 16S ribosomal RNA". It matches the Rfam family "Bacterial small subunit ribosomal RNA", at positions 524 to 776 of the family's 1533-position model. The record is from RNAcentral.
UACGGAGGGGACUAGCGUUGUUCGGAAUUACUGGGCGUAAAGCGCACGUAGGCGGCUCAUGAAGGCUGUGGUGAAAGUCCGGGGCUCAACCUCGGAUCGGCCGUGGCGACUCGUGGGCUGGAGCACUGUAGAGGCGGGUGGAAUUCCGGGUGUAGCGGUGGAAUGCGUAGAGAUCCGGAAGAACACCAGUGGCGAAGGCGGCCCGCUGGGCAGUGGCUGACGCUGAGGCGCGACAGCGUGGGGAGCAAACAGG